Homo sapiens (human) is the source of this 633-nucleotide long non-coding RNA. RefSeq annotates it as RRAGC divergent transcript. The record is from RefSeq and is marked validated. Lineage: Eukaryota; Metazoa; Chordata; Mammalia; Primates; Hominidae. The transcript is spliced from 2 exons.
ACCUGACUCAGAGCCGCGGAGGGGGGAGGAGGAGUCACGAGGAGGGCGGCCCGGCCGCGCCUCUAGCCCCGGCUCGGGCCCUCAGCCCUCCGCCCCGGCCCGCAUACAACGCUGUCUGCACCGCUCCCCUGCCUUCUUCCGGGCUCCCAGAGCACCGCUAUGGAGAUGCUCUCCCGGCAUUUGAGGAAGAAUUGAUUGUCCUCAUCCUGCAACUGUACUUGCCCAACCGAUAUUUAUUGAUGCCUGCAGUGUCCUGGGUGCCUACCAAGGGGCACAGAACUGGAUCCGACGCAGACCCUGCCUGCCUUCAGGUUGCUUGAAGAUGAACAGAGAGAUCGGACCUCUGCAUGAAGCCAGACUGCUCAUCAUUCCAGACAUCUUCAGCUGCUACACCCAGAACAAGCAUUCGAAAUAUGAACAGGAUGGUGAGCCAGAUCUUUCCAAUCAUGGUGGAGUGGAUGUGAACUUCCUCCAGAGUAUCUCCAAGGAGAUUCCAGUCCCCCAUGUUUAUUUAGUCAGCCAUCUUAGCUCUGAUCCACAUCAAAUAAGAGGCAGAUAAAUUCUUCCAUUCUGAAGGGAGCACUAUUUCUUAAAGCAAACCUAUGGUGAAAAUAUAACAAUAUGUCACUUCUA